GAAUGCGAUCAUACCAGCACUAAAGCACCGGAUCCCAUCAGAACUCUGAAGUUAAGCAUGGUUGGGCGGGAGUAGUAUUAGGAUGGGUGACCUCCUGGUAAGUCCUCGGGUUGCAUUCCC
Molecule: ribosomal RNA, 120 nt
Filed under: Triticum turgidum subsp. dicoccum
Lineage: Eukaryota; Viridiplantae; Streptophyta; Magnoliopsida; Poales; Poaceae
Source: RNAcentral